AACCCGUUGGUCGUGGUACCCCUCCAUUAUUUUGGCCAAACGUCGUCCACCAGCCUCCCAUCCAUGGAUCCACCAGCAGCGGUGCAAACCUCCUUCCCACCGGCGUCGGCGAGCCUCCCCUCACUGGCCGCGGCGGGCCUCGCCCAGCCCCCACCGGCAGCAGCACGAUCAGGUCAGCGCGCUCGGUGGCGCUCCUCCUCUAGCAGAUCCAGCCGUGAGUGGCUCGCCUCGUGCAGGUGCGGCCCGUUGGUGGUGCGGCUCCACCACAAGGCAACAACGGCAGUUGCCCCUCAACCUUCCCCAGCGGAUCCACCGCACAAGGCUCGUCCCCUUCAUUAAUAUGGCGUUAGGGCUCCGUCCCACCUCUGAUGGCGGCUCCGGCAUCGGCGGGCAGGCAGCCUUUGGCUGGCGGCGUGGCCAUUAGCGACUGCGGAUAGAUCUGGUGGCGCUGACCCUCUCCCUUGAUCGACGUUGGCCUUCCUCCCUCUGGCUAUGACAGUGACCCUUCCUAUGCCAUGGUCUUUUUGAUCUGCCAUGGUCUUUUUGAUGCAGGUGCCUUCCUAUGCUGUCAUGUGGCUGCAGCAAGCGUAGAGAUUGAUGUUCCACAAUCAUAGUUCGUGCCAACAAAUUUUAAUGUUUUCUGCUGCCUAUAUAUAUCUCGACUUUCUGUGCCGGGCGUAGAGAUUGGGAAUCUAGCUGCAGAGAGUCAGAGUUGGAGCAGCAAAGGUUUCUGUGCAAUAUAUUUUGUGAUUUUUAAGCUUCUUGAGCCAGCAACAUAUGUAUUCGUACUCACAGUAAACAUGUAUGUACUCAUACUCCAUAUAACCAUGUAUAUGGUUUCAUACUCACAAGAUGUAUAUACUCAUACUCCCAAUGUAUAUGUAUGUGCUCAUACUUCUUUUGUCUAGUUUGAUGCUUCUAUGCUGACGGUAAUACAUAAAAGAAAAUUACCAUGCAGGCA
Sorghum bicolor (sorghum) is the source of this 961-nucleotide long non-coding RNA. RefSeq lists it as uncharacterized. The transcript has 2 exons. Lineage: Eukaryota; Viridiplantae; Streptophyta; Magnoliopsida; Poales; Poaceae. The record is from RefSeq and is a predicted model, not a curated record.